UGAGAUAUACUUUGGCCAGUAG
RNAcentral lists this microRNA (22 nucleotides) under Cordylochernes scorpioides. Lineage: Eukaryota; Metazoa; Arthropoda; Arachnida; Pseudoscorpiones; Chernetidae. The record is from RNAcentral.